Molecule: ribosomal RNA, 131 nt
Filed under: Notamacropus eugenii (tammar wallaby)
Lineage: Eukaryota; Metazoa; Chordata; Mammalia; Diprotodontia; Macropodidae
Source: RNAcentral
GUCCGUGGUCAUACCACACUGACCAUGUUUGAUCCCAUCUGAUCUUGGAAGUGAAGCAGGUUUGGGCUUAGUCAAUUGGAUAUAUUCCUUAACCAAUCAAUAAAUAAACAUUUAUUAAGCACCUACUGUGU